Molecule: ribosomal RNA, 504 nt
Filed under: uncultured Bacteroidota bacterium
Lineage: Bacteria; Pseudomonadati; Bacteroidota
Description: bacterial SSU rRNA
Rfam family: Bacterial small subunit ribosomal RNA
Source: RNAcentral
CGCGGGUAGCAAUACCUGGCGGCGACCGACAAACGGGUGCGGAACACGUACGCAACCUUCCCAAAACUGGUGAACAGCCCUCCGAAAGGAGGAUUAAUACACCGUAAGAUAAUGAAGAGGCAUCUCUUUAUUAUUAUAGCUCCGGCGGUUUUGGAUGGGCGUGCGGCUGAUUAGGUAGUUGGCGGGGUAACGGCCCACCAAGCCUACGAUCAGUAACUGGUGUGAGAGCACGACCAGUCACACGGGCACUGAGACACGGGCCCGACUCCUACGGGAGGCAGCAGUAAGGAAUAUUGGUCAAUGGACGCAAGUCUGAACCAGCCAUGCCGCGUGAAGGAUGAAGGUCCUCUGGAUUGUAAACUUCUUUUAUCUGGGACGAAAAAAGGGCAUUCUUGCUCACUUGACGGUACCAGAGGAAUAAGCACCGGUUAACUCCGUGCCAGCAGCCGCGGUAAUACGGAGGGUGCGAGCGUUAUCCGGAUUUACUGGGUUUAAAGGGUGCGU